Molecule: ribosomal RNA, 349 nt
Filed under: Flavobacterium sp. GSN2
Lineage: Bacteria; Pseudomonadati; Bacteroidota; Flavobacteriia; Flavobacteriales; Flavobacteriaceae
Description: bacterial SSU rRNA
Rfam family: Bacterial small subunit ribosomal RNA
Source: RNAcentral
UACGAUGAAGAGUUUGAUCCUGGCUCAGGAUGAACGCUAGCGGCAGGCUUAACACAUGCAAGUCGAGGGGUAUGUUUCUUCGGAGACAGAGACCGGCGCACGGGUGCGUAACGCGUAUGCAAUCUACCUUUCACAGAGGGAUAGCCCAGAGAAAUUUGGAUUAAUACCUCAUAGUAUAGUACCUUGGCAUCAAGGAACUAUUAAAGUCACAACGGUGAAAGAUGAGCAUGCGUCCCAUUAGCUAGUUGGUAUGGUAACGGCAUACCAAGGCAACGAUGGGUAGGGGUCCUGAGAGGGAGAUCCCCCACACUGGUACUGAGACACGGACCAGACUCCUACGGGAGGCAGC